Molecule: ribosomal RNA, 393 nt
Filed under: uncultured bacterium
Lineage: Bacteria
Description: partial 16S ribosomal RNA
Rfam family: Bacterial small subunit ribosomal RNA
Source: RNAcentral
AUACGGAGGAUCCGAGCGUUAUCCGGAUUUAUUGGGUUUAAAGGGAGCGUAGGUGGACAGUUAAGUCAGUUGUGAAAGUUUGCGGCUCAACCGUAAAAUUGCAGUUGAUACUGGUUUCCUUGAGUACGGUACAGGUGGGCGGAAUUCGUGGUGUAGCGGUGAAAUGCUUAGAUAUCACGAAGAACUCCGAUCGCGAAGGCAGCUCACCGGGCCGGAACUGACACUGAUGCUCGAAAGUGCGGGUAUCAAACAGGAUUAGAUACCCUGGUAGUCCGCACAGUAAACGAUGAAUACUCGCUGUUUGCGAUACACGGUAAGCGGCCAAGCGAAAGCGUUAAGUAUUCCACCUGGGGAGUACGCCGGCAACGGUGAAACUCAAAUGAAUUGGCGGGG